GUAUUGAUGAAGAGUCCCAAACUAGGACGAAACAGUUGUCCAGUAC
This 46-nucleotide non-coding RNA is filed under the name Trichobilharzia regenti. Lineage: Eukaryota; Metazoa; Platyhelminthes; Trematoda; Strigeidida; Schistosomatidae. The record is from RNAcentral.